UGGAUAAUCUGCCUCGGAGACCGGAAUAACUUCGGGAAACUGGAGCUAAUGCCGGAUACCCUUCCUGGACCGCAUGGCCUAGGAAGGAAAGGAUCCCGCUUCGAGAGGAGUCCGCGGCCUAUCAGGUAGUUGGUGAGGUAACGGCUCACCAAGCCUACGACGGGUAGCCGGCCUGAGAGGGUGAACGGCCACAUUGGAACUGAGACACGGUCCAGACUCCUACGGGAGGCAG
This 232-nucleotide ribosomal RNA is filed under the name uncultured bacterium. RNAcentral's name for it is "partial 16S ribosomal RNA". It matches the Rfam family "Bacterial small subunit ribosomal RNA", at positions 118 to 351 of the family's 1533-position model. The record is from RNAcentral.